CGUUAAAUUACCCGUUCUCGUACGACCACGGAAGUUAAGCAACGUUGAACCUGGUCAGUAUCUCGGUGGGUAACCGCUUGGGAAUACCAGGAGUUGUAA
Acanthosepion pharaonis is the source of this 99-nucleotide non-coding RNA. NCBI's taxonomy places the organism in Eukaryota, Metazoa, Mollusca, Cephalopoda, Sepiida, Sepiidae. The record is from the annotation of a GenBank genome assembly.